UGCCUCAGUAGCGGCGAGUGAAGCGGCAAGAGCUCAGAUUUGAAAUCGUGCUUUGCGGACGAGUUGUAGAUUGCAGGUUGGAGUCUGUGUGGAAGGCGGGGUCCAAGUCCCUUGAAACAGGGCGCCCAGGAGGGUGAGAGCCCCGUGGGAUGCCGGCGGAAGCUGUGAGGCCCUUCUGACGAGUCGAGUUGUUUGGGAAUGCAGCUCCAAGCGGGUGGUAAAUUCCAUCUAAGGCUAAAUACUGGCGAGAGACCGAUAGCGAACAAGUACUGUGAAGGAAAGAUGAAAAGCACUUUGAAAAGAGAGUGAAACAGCACGUGAAAUUGUUGAAAGGGAAGGGUAUUGCGCCCGACAUGGGGAAUUGCGCACCGCUGCCUCUCGUGGGCGGCGCUCUGGGCUUUCCCU
RNAcentral lists this ribosomal RNA (405 nucleotides) under Pichia kudriavzevii. Its description in RNAcentral is "eukaryotic LSU rRNA". It matches the Rfam family "Eukaryotic large subunit ribosomal RNA", at positions 76 to 486 of the family's 3401-position model. Lineage: Eukaryota; Fungi; Ascomycota; Pichiomycetes; Pichiales; Pichiaceae. The record is from RNAcentral.